UCAUGGCUCAGGCUGGGACACCUCCUUANAGGUUGCUUGAGGUUAGCGGCGGACGGGUGAGUAACACGUGGGUAACCUGCCUGUAAGACUGGGAUAACUCCGGGAAACCGGGGCUAAUACCGGAUGGUUGUUUGAACCGCAUGGUUCAGACAUAAAAGGUGGCUUCGGCUACCACUUACAGAUGGACCCGCGGCGCAUUAGCUAGUUGGUGAGGUAACGGCUCACCAAGGCGACGAUGCGUAGCCGACCUGAGAGGGUGAUCGGCCACACUGGGACUGAGACACGGCCCAGACUCCUACGGGAGGCAGCAGUAGGGAAUCUUCCGCAAUGGACGAAAGUCUGACGGAGCAACGCCGCGUGAGUGAUGAAGGUUUUCGGAUCGUAAAGCUCUGUUGUUAGGGAAGAACAAGUGCCGUUCAAAUAGGGCGGCACCUUGACGGUACCUAACCAGAAAGCCACGGCUAACUACGUGCCAGCAGCCGCGGGUAAUACGUAGGUGGCAAGCGUUGUCCGGAAUUAUUGGGCGUAAAGGGCUCGCAGGCGGUUUCUUAAGUCUGAUGUGAAAGCCCCCCGGCCUCCACCGGGGAGGGUCAUUGGAAAACUGGGGGAACUUGAGUGCAGAAGANGAAGAGUGGAAUUUCCACUUGGUAGCGGCGAAAUGC
RNAcentral lists this ribosomal RNA (662 nucleotides) under Bacillus sp. (in: firmicutes). RNAcentral's name for it is "bacterial SSU rRNA". It matches the Rfam family "Bacterial small subunit ribosomal RNA", at positions 72 to 689 of the family's 1533-position model. Lineage: Bacteria; Bacillati; Bacillota; Bacilli; Caryophanales; Bacillaceae. The record is from RNAcentral.